This 265-nucleotide ribosomal RNA is filed under the name uncultured bacterium. RNAcentral's name for it is "partial 16S ribosomal RNA". It matches the Rfam family "Bacterial small subunit ribosomal RNA", at positions 334 to 616 of the family's 1533-position model. The record is from RNAcentral.
UGUACCUACGGGAGGCAGCAGUGGGGAAUAUUGCACAAUGGGGGAAACCCUGAUGCAGCAACGCCGCGUGAGUGAAGAAGUAUUUCGGUAUGUAAAGCUCUAUCAGCAGGGAAGAGAAUGACGGUACCUGACUAAGAAGCCCCGGCUAACUCCGUGCCAGCAGCCGCGGUAAUACGGAGGAUGCGAGCGUUAUCCGGAUUUAUUGGGUUUAAAGGGUGCGUAGGCGGUCCGUUAAGUCAGCGGUAAAAUUGCGGGGCUCAACCCC